Molecule: small RNA, 65 nt
Filed under: Paenibacillus sp. P22
Lineage: Bacteria; Bacillati; Bacillota; Bacilli; Caryophanales; Paenibacillaceae
Description: Pseudomonas sRNA P4
Source: RNAcentral
UUGGCUUUCCAUUUCAUGCUGGCAGUAAUGACAGCUGCCGCAAGAAAUAUUGAACGGGAGCACAA